ACGCUUUGGCAACAAUAAGGUUUAAACGAUGACUGGAGUAAUGAACAUGCAACGCCUUCGGGUUUUUCUCUAAUAUUCUCCCAGAAAUACCUUUUACCUGGCUGGACACAGCACUAGCACCGUCAUAUCCCAGGCCUCGACAAUUUUGAAGGGAAGCCCGACAUCUUGAAGUGUACUUUGACUAAUGAACGGAAUCAAAUCCAAAGGCGAAACAGUUCGGUAUACAAAUGAAAAUGUUCUUGAAUCAUGUAAAACUUCAAAUUUAUUCAAGAAUGUAUUAAAUUAUCCAGAAAGUAUAAGCUUGGAGUUAUCAUUAAAAAGUGCCUUGCACCAGAUAUUUUCAAUAAUUAGCUAUCGAGACCAUCCUCAGUUGU
Molecule: long non-coding RNA, 374 nt
Filed under: Dendronephthya gigantea
Lineage: Eukaryota; Metazoa; Cnidaria; Anthozoa; Malacalcyonacea; Nephtheidae
Description: uncharacterized LOC114544127
Source: RNAcentral